AGGUGAAAUUNUUGGAUCGUCGCAAGACGGACUAAAGCGAAAGCAUUUGCCAAAGGUGUUUUCAUUAAUCAAGAACGAAAGUUAGAGGUUCGAAGGCGAUUAGAUACCGCUGUAGUUCUAACCAUAAAUGAUGCCAGCCAGCGAUCCGCCGAAGUUUCAUAAUUUUAACCCGGUGGGCAGCUCCCGGGAAACCAAAGCUUUCGGGCUCCGGGGGGAGUAUGGUUGCAAAGCUGAAACUNAAAGGAAAAU
This 249-nucleotide ribosomal RNA is filed under the name Pisidium sp. DK17_20. RNAcentral's name for it is "partial large subunit ribosomal RNA". It matches the Rfam family "Eukaryotic small subunit ribosomal RNA", at positions 909 to 1153 of the family's 1831-position model. The record is from RNAcentral. Lineage: Eukaryota; Metazoa; Mollusca; Bivalvia; Venerida; Sphaeriidae.